UACAGAGGGGGCAAGCGUUGUUCGGAAUUACUGGGCGUAAAGGGCGCGUAGGUGGCCCGCUAAGUCGAACGUGAAAUCCCCGAGCUCAACUCGGGAACUGCGUCCGAUACUGGUGGGCUUGAAUCCGGGAGAGGGAUGCGGAAUUCCAGGUGUAGCGGUGAAAUGCGUAGAUAUCUGGAGGAACACCGGUGGCGAAGGCGGCAUCCUGGACCAACACUGACACUGAGGAGCGAAAGCCAGGGGAGCAAACGGG
This 253-nucleotide ribosomal RNA is filed under the name uncultured bacterium. RNAcentral describes it as "partial 16S ribosomal RNA". It matches the Rfam family "Bacterial small subunit ribosomal RNA", at positions 524 to 776 of the family's 1533-position model. The record is from RNAcentral.